ACUCCUACGGGAGGCAGCAGUGGGGAAUAUUGCACAAUGGGGGGAAACCCUGAUGCAGCCAUGCCGCGUGUGUGAAGAAGGCCUUCGGGUUGUAAAGCACUUUCAGUAGGGAGGAAGGUAGUGUAGUUAACACCUGCAUUAUUUGACGUUACCUACAGAAGAAGCACCGGCUAACUCCGUGCCAGCAGCCGCGGUAAUACGGAGGGUGCGAGCGUUAAUCGGAAUUACUGGGCGUAAAGCGCAUGCAGGUGGUUUGUUAAGUCAGAUGUGAAAGCCCGGGGGCUCAACCUCGGAAUUGCAUUUGAAACUGGCAGACUAGAGUACUGUAGAGGGGGGUAGAAUUUCAGGUGUAGCGGUGAAAUGCGUAGAGAUCUGAAGGAAUACCGGUGGCGAAGGCGGCCCCCUGGACAGAUACUGACACUCAGAUGCGAAAGCGUGGGGAGCAAACAGGAUUAGAUACCCUGGUAGGAUAGCG
RNAcentral lists this ribosomal RNA (475 nucleotides) under uncultured bacterium. Its description in RNAcentral is "bacterial SSU rRNA". It matches the Rfam family "Bacterial small subunit ribosomal RNA", at positions 335 to 799 of the family's 1533-position model. The record is from RNAcentral.